AGCUCCAAUAGCGUAUAUUAAAGUUGUUGCAGUUAAAAAGCUCGUAGUUGGAUCUCGGGUUUAGGCUUGUGGUUCUGCUCAUGCAGCUACUGCUCGUCCUGACCUACCUGCCGGUUUUCCCUUGGUGCCCUUAACUGGGUGUCUCGGGUGGCCGGAACGUUUACUUUGAAAAAAUUAGAGUGUUCAAAGCAGGCAGUUCGCCUGAAUAAUGGUGCAUGGAAUAAUGGAAAAGGAUCUCGGUUCUAUUUUGUUGGUUUCCGGAACUUGAGAUAAUGAUUAAGAGGGACAGACGGGGGCAUUCGUAUUACGGUGUUAGAGGUGAAAUUCUUGGAUCGCCGUAAGACGAACUACUGCGAAAGCAUUUGCCAAGAAUGUUUUCA
RNAcentral lists this ribosomal RNA (380 nucleotides) under uncultured eukaryote. Its description in RNAcentral is "SSU rRNA". It matches the Rfam family "Eukaryotic small subunit ribosomal RNA", at positions 587 to 972 of the family's 1831-position model. The record is from RNAcentral.